GACUUCGUGGUCGUGUGGUAAGGACACUUGCCUCUUACCAUGAAGUCCCGGGUUCGAUCCCCGGUCGAGAAGUUA
Molecule: transfer RNA, 75 nt
Filed under: Rhamnusium bicolor
Lineage: Eukaryota; Metazoa; Arthropoda; Insecta; Coleoptera; Cerambycidae
Description: tRNA-OTHER
Source: RNAcentral